RNAcentral lists this ribosomal RNA (468 nucleotides) under uncultured bacterium. RNAcentral describes it as "partial 16S ribosomal RNA". The stretch from base 59 to 468 matches the Rfam family "Bacterial small subunit ribosomal RNA", at positions 39 to 507 of the family's 1533-position model. The record is from RNAcentral.
GGGGGGGGGGGGGGGGGGGGGGGGGGGGGGGGGGGGGGGGGGGGGGGGGGGGGGGGGGGGGGGGGGUCGGGGGGGGGGCGGGUGAGGAGCGCGUGAGUAAGCUGCCCGUGGCUUUGGGAUGACUUCAGGAAACUGGGGCUACGACCGUAUAGGAGCUCGUGCUGCAUGGGGGGGGUUGGAGAGUUUCGGCGGUUGGGGAUGGACUAGCGGCUUGUCAGCUGGUUGGUGUGGUAGUGGCUUACCAAGGCUUGGCAGGGUCGCCGGCCUGAGCGGGUGACAGGCCACAUUGGGACUGAGAUACGGCCCAGACUGCUACGGGAGGCAGAAGUGGGGAAUAUUGCACAAUGGGCGGAAGCCUGAUGCAGCAACGCCGCGUGCGGGAUGACGGCCUUCGGGUUGUAAACCGCUUUCGACUGUGACGAAGCGUGAGUGACGGUAAUGGGUAAAGAAGCACCGGCUAACUACGUG